GUGAGGAAUAUUGGUCAAUGGGCGGGAGCCUGAACCAGCCAAGUCGCGUGAAGGAAGAAGGAUCUAUGGUUCGUAAACUUCUUUUGCAGGGGAAUAAAGUGCAGGACGUGUCCUGUUUUGUAUGUACCCUGAGAAUAAGGAUCGGCUAACUCCGUGCCAGCAGCCGCGGUACUACGGAGGAUCCGAGCGUUAUCCGGAUUUAUUGGGUUUAAAGGGUGCGUAGGUGGUUUGAUAAGUCAGCGGUGAAAGUUUGCAGCUUAACUGUAAAAAUGCCGUUGAAACUGUCGGACUUGAGUGUAAAUGAGGUAGGCGGAAUGCGUGGUGUAGCGGUGAAAUGCAUAGAUAUCACGCAGAACUCCGAUUGCGAAGGCAGCUUACUAAGCUACAACUGACACUGAAGCACGAAAGCGUGGGGAUCAAACAGGAUUAGAUACCCUUGUAGUCC
Molecule: ribosomal RNA, 445 nt
Filed under: uncultured bacterium
Lineage: Bacteria
Description: partial 16S ribosomal RNA
Rfam family: Bacterial small subunit ribosomal RNA
Source: RNAcentral